UGGUCAAGUUAUUAAGGGUGCAGGGCGGAUGCCUUGGCACUAGGAGCCGAUGAAGGACGUGAUAAGCUGCGAUAAGCUUCGGGGAGUUGCACGUAAACUUUGAUCCGAAGAUUUCCGAAUGAGGAAACUCACUUAGAGUAAUGUCUAAGUAUCAUUAAGUGAAUACAUAGCUUAAUGAGGGGAACUCAGGGAACUGAAACAUCUAAGUACCUGAAGGAAGAGAAAGAAAUUCGAUUCCGUAAGUAGCGGCGAGCGAACGCGGAUUAGCCCAAACCAAUAAAGUUUUCUUUAUUGGGGUUGCGGACAUAUCAUAACGAAGAGGUAUCGUAAUUGAAGAGGUUUGGAAAGACCCACCACAGAAGGUAAUAGUCCUGUAUGUUAAACGAGAAGACUUUAGAUAUGAUCCAGAGUACCACGGGACACGUGAAACCCUGUGGGAAGCAGGAGGGACCACCCUCCAAGGCUAAAUACUACCUAGUGACCGAUAGCGUAUAGUACCGUGAGGGAAAGGUGAAAAGAACCCCGGGAGGGGAGUGAAAUAGAACCUGAAACCCUGCACUUACAAGCUGUGGAAGCACAUUUCUUGUGUGACCGCGUACUUUUUGUAGAACGGGCCAACGAGUUACGUUAAGUAGCAAGGUUAAGCACUUAAGGUGCGGAGCCGUAGCGAAAGCGAGUUUUAACUGAGCGUUCAGUUACUUGACGUAGACCCGAAACCGGGCGACCUACCCAUGAGCAGGAUGAAGCGAAAGUAAAAUUUCGUGGAGGUCCGAACCCACGAGCGUUGAAAAGCUCGGGGAUGACUUGUGGGUAGCGGUGAAAUUCCAAUCGAGCCCGGAGAUAGCUGGUUCUCCCCGAAAUAGCUUUAGGGCUAGCCUCAAGGUGAGAGAUACGGAGGUAGAGCACUGAAUGUCCUAGGGGGUAUUGCACCUACCGAAGACUAUCAAACUCCGAAUGCCGUCAUCUUAUACUUGGGAGUCAGACUGUGGGUGAUAAGAUUCAUAGUCGAAAGGGCAACAGCCCAGAUCGUCAGCUAAGGUCCCUAAAUGUAAGUUAAGUGGUAAAGGAUGUGGGAUUGCACAGACAACCAGGAUGUUGGCUUAGAAGCAGCCACUCAUUCAAAGAGUGCGUAAUAGCUCACUGGUCGAGUGAUCCUGCGCCGAAGAUUUCCGGGGCUAAAACUUACUACCGAAGCUACGGCAUCAGUAAUGAUGGGUAGGGGAGCUUCCCAUACGGGUUGAAGCAUGACCGUAAGGACAUGUGGAC
This 1266-nucleotide ribosomal RNA is filed under the name Clostridioides difficile. Its description in RNAcentral is "partial 23S ribosomal RNA". It matches the Rfam family "Bacterial large subunit ribosomal RNA", at positions 1 to 1278 of the family's 2925-position model. Lineage: Bacteria; Bacillati; Bacillota; Clostridia; Peptostreptococcales; Peptostreptococcaceae. The record is from RNAcentral.